AACGAACGCUGGCGGCAUGCCUAACACAUGCAAGUCGAACGAGACCUUCGGGUCUAGUGGCGCACGGGUGCGUACCGCGUGGGAACCUGCCCUUAGGUUCGGAAUAACUCCCCGCAAGGGGUGCUAAUACCGGAUAAUGUCUUCGGACCAAAGAUUUAUCGCCUUUGGAUGGGCCCGCGUUGGAUUAGCUAGUUGGUAGGGUAAAAGCCUACCAAGGCGACGAUCCAUAGCUGGUCUGAGAGGAUGAUCAGCCACACUGGGACUGAGACACGGCCCAGACUCCUACGGGAGGCAGCAGUGGGGAAUAUUGGACAAUGGGCGAAAGCCUGAGCCAGCAAUGCCGCGUGAGUGAUGAAGGCCUUAGGGUUGUAAAGCUCUUUUACCCGGGAUGAUAAUGACAGUACCGGGAGAAUAAGCGCCGGCUAACUCCGUG
Molecule: ribosomal RNA, 433 nt
Filed under: uncultured bacterium
Lineage: Bacteria
Description: partial 16S ribosomal RNA
Rfam family: Bacterial small subunit ribosomal RNA
Source: RNAcentral